Long non-coding RNA from Pipistrellus kuhlii (Kuhl's pipistrelle), 164 nucleotides. RefSeq lists it as uncharacterized. The record is from RefSeq and is a predicted model, not a curated record. The transcript is spliced from 3 exons. Lineage: Eukaryota; Metazoa; Chordata; Mammalia; Chiroptera; Vespertilionidae.
UCUCUGAUAAAAUAAAAUAAUACAAAUAAGUAAAAAAGAAGUGUCAUUAAAAUUACUCCAAGUACCAUCACCCAUACACAGGUACUUUUAAAAAUAUUUCCAACCUUCAUACAAUUUAUGUUUACAUAUAUAUGUAUAUAUAUAUUAUCAAAGUGGGACUGAUA